UUCAUGGAGAGUUUGAUCCUGGCUCAGGACGAACGCUGGCGGCGUGCUUAACACAUGCAAGUCGAACGGAAAGGCCCGCUUGCGGGUACUCGAGUGGCGAACGGGUGAGUAACACGUGGGUGAUCUGCCCUGGACUCUGGGAUAAGCCUGGGAAACUGGGUCUAAUACCGGAUAUGACCUUACAUCGCAUGGUGUUUGGUGGAAAGCUUUUGCGGUUCAGGAUGGGCCCGCGGCCUAUCAGCUUGUUGGUGGGGUAAUGGCCUACCAAGGCGACGACGGGUAGCCGACCUGAGAGGGUGAUCGGCCACACUGGGACUGAGACACGGCCCAGACUCCUACGGGAGGCAGCAGUGGGGAAUAUUGCACAAUGGGCGCAAGCCUGAUGCAGCGACGCCGCGUGAGGGAUGACGGCCUUCGGGUUGUAAACCUCUUUCACCAGGGACGAAGCGCAAGUGACGGUACCUGGAGAAGAAGCACCGGCCAACUACGUGCCAGCAGCCGCGGUAAUACGUAGGGUGCGAGCGUUGUCCGGAAUUACUGGGCGUAAAGAGCUCGUAGGCGGUUUGUCGCGUCGUCUGUGAAAUUCUGCAACUCAAUUGUAGGCGUGCAGGCGAUAC
RNAcentral lists this ribosomal RNA (617 nucleotides) under Gordonia amicalis. Its description in RNAcentral is "bacterial SSU rRNA". It matches the Rfam family "Bacterial small subunit ribosomal RNA", at positions 1 to 633 of the family's 1533-position model. The record is from RNAcentral. Lineage: Bacteria; Bacillati; Actinomycetota; Actinomycetes; Mycobacteriales; Gordoniaceae.